Molecule: unclassified non-coding RNA, 516 nt
Filed under: Hevea brasiliensis (rubber tree)
Lineage: Eukaryota; Viridiplantae; Streptophyta; Magnoliopsida; Malpighiales; Euphorbiaceae
Source: RNAcentral
GGAAGUGUCAUAAUGAAAGCAUCUUCUUACCUCCUAGAAAGUAAUCAAAGAUAUUACUUGCUAUUCUGUUUACGUAGGUUGAAUUUCUUAAGGCUCUAGACAAGAACAUGUAGCAUAUUUCUCUUAUAAACCAAUAAAUAUGUUGGGGCCUUUUUUUAUCUUGCUUCUAAAGAUAGAAGACCAGAAUUUCUCUGGGGUGGUUGAAGUUAUUGUUUUUUAUGCUUAUCCUAAGGUUGACUUUGGAACCCUGGAAAUCUGAACCUGUGAAAGGCAUGUUGAGUGCUUAUUUACAAGGAGAGACAUGUUAAAGAGCUUGUUGGUUAUGCUGCUGGCCCAUGAUAUGGUUAGAAAGGAAUAGAAAGCCCCUUAGGCAUUGAAAUCUCUAUGAACUGUGCAAUACUACAUUAUGCUCAAAAUUUUGUAGUUAUUUCUCUCAUUAUCCGGAGGAUCAUAUUCAAGUGGCUGUUUCUGUUUUUAUGGUCCAUUAUGCAUUCAUUGAGGUGAAGUGAAGAGUUG